Molecule: ribosomal RNA, 500 nt
Filed under: uncultured bacterium
Lineage: Bacteria
Description: bacterial SSU rRNA
Rfam family: Bacterial small subunit ribosomal RNA
Source: RNAcentral
AGAGUUUGAUCCUGGCUCAGGACGAACGCUGGCGGCGUGCCUAACACAUGCAAGUCGAACGGGGUAAAGACUUCGGUUUUUACUUAGUGGCGAACGGGUGAGUAACGCGUGAGGAACCCUGCCUUUCAGUGGGGGACAACAGUUGGAAACGACUGCUAAUACCGCAUAAAGCCAUCGGAAUGGCAUCAUCCUGGUGACCAAAGAUUUAUUGCUGAAAGAUGGCCUCGCGUCUGAUUAGCUAGUUGGUGGGGUAACGGCCCACCAAGGCGACGAUCAGUAGCCGGUCUGAGAGGAUGAACGGCCACAUUGGGACUGAGAUACGGCCCAGACUCCUACGGGAGGCAGCAGUGGGGAAUAUUGGGCAAUGGGGGAAACCCUGACCCAGCAACGCCGCGUGAAGGAAGAAGGCCUUCGGGUUGUAAACUUCUUUUAGCAGGGACGAAGGACGUGACGGUACCUGCAGAAAAAGCAACGGUUAACUACGUGCCAGCAGCCGCGGU